This 435-nucleotide ribosomal RNA is filed under the name uncultured bacterium. Its description in RNAcentral is "partial 16S ribosomal RNA". It matches the Rfam family "Bacterial small subunit ribosomal RNA", at positions 29 to 507 of the family's 1533-position model. The record is from RNAcentral.
AGCGAACGCUGGCGGCAGGCUUAACACAUGCAAGUCGAACGGGCUUCUUCGGAAGUCAGUGGCAGACGGGUGAGUAGCACGUGGGAACGUGCCCUUCGGUUCGGAAUAACUCAGGGAAACUUGAGCUAAUACCGGAUACGCCCUUUUGGGGAAAGGUUUACUGCCGAAGGAUCGGCCCGCGUCUGAUUAGCUUGUUGGUGGGGUAACGGCCUACCAAGGCGACGAUCAGUAGCUGGUCUGAGAGGAUGAUCAGCCACACUGGGACUGAGACACGGCCCAGACUCCUACGGGAGGCAGCAGUGGGGAAUAUUGGACAAUGGGCGCAAGCCUGAUCCAGCCAUGCCGCGUGAGUGAUGAAGGCCUUAGGGUUGUAAAGCUCUUUUGUCCGGGACGAUAAUGACGGUACCGGAAGAAUAAGCCCCGGCUAACUUCGUG